ACCCUUAGACGACGAGGAGAUACUUUCAUAUAAUCUUACCGGCCUCGACAUCAAGUUUAAUCCAAUUGUCUCGGCCAUUGUUGCAAGAGUGGAGCCUAUCACACUGACUGAGCUAUAUGCGCAACUCUUAAGCUUUGAGA
Molecule: small nucleolar RNA, 140 nt
Organism: Phragmites australis (common reed)
Lineage: Eukaryota; Viridiplantae; Streptophyta; Magnoliopsida; Poales; Poaceae
Product: small nucleolar RNA Z247
Exons: 1
Source: RefSeq, a predicted model, not a curated record